UGGUAAAGCUGGGUGUUGCUGCUUUUGCAAUGGAGGACAAUGGGAGGAAAAGAUUCAGGAACAGCUUAGAAGCAACCACUGCAACUAUGACCCUGUCAAUAGCCGGCUAUGGCUCUUGGAAGCAGGAAUAGAGAGCCUCAUCACUUGAACCUAUUCUAGCGUUGAAGUCUCCCACGACGAUCACCAGGGCAUCUGGAUGCAGAGACGUCAUCUUAACAAUAUAGUCUUCUAAUCUGGACAUAGCGGCCUUCGCUGGUUCUUUUUGGUG
Molecule: long non-coding RNA, 268 nt
Organism: Rhineura floridana
Lineage: Eukaryota; Metazoa; Chordata; Lepidosauria; Squamata; Rhineuridae
Exons: 3
Source: RefSeq, a predicted model, not a curated record